GGCGGAGUUUAGCGGGCGGCGACUUCGGUCAAAGCCUGUUAAACUUAGCGGCGGACGGGUGAGUAACACGUAGGCAACCUGCCCAUGACACGGGGAUAGCUUCGGGAAACCGGAGGUAAUACCCGAUACCUUUACUUAUCGCAUGGUAAGUAAAGAAAGCGACUUAGCGGUCAUGGAUGGGCCUGCGUCCCAUUAGCUAGUUGGUGAGAUAACAGCCCACCAAGGCGACGAUGGGUAGCCGACCUGAGAGGGUGACCGGCCACACUGGAACUUAGACACGGUCCAGACUCCUACGGGAGGCAGCAGUGGGGAAUAUUGCGCAAUGGGUGAAAGCCUGACGCAGCGACGCCGCGUGAGCGAAGAAGGCCUUCGGGUCGUAAAGCUCAGUCAUUGGGGAUGACAUGGACAGUACCCAAGGAGGAAGCCCCGGCUAACUACGUGCCAGCAGCCGCGGUAAUACGUAGGGGGCGAGCGUUGUCCGGAAUUACUGGGUGUAAAGGGCGUGUAGGCGGGGAUGCAAGUUACUGGUAAAAACCCGAGGCUCAACCACGGGCUUGCCGGUAAAACUGUAUCUCUUGAGUGUAGGAGAGGGAAGUGGAAUUCCCGGAGUAGCGGUGAAAUGCGUAGAUACCGGGAGGAACACCAGUGGCGAAGGCGGCUUCCUGGCCUACUACUGACGCUGAGGCGCGAAAGCUAGGGGAGCGAACGGGAUUAGAUACCCCGGUAGUCCUAGCCGUAAACGAUGGUCACUAGGUGUGGGUGGU
RNAcentral lists this ribosomal RNA (764 nucleotides) under uncultured bacterium. RNAcentral's name for it is "bacterial SSU rRNA". It matches the Rfam family "Bacterial small subunit ribosomal RNA", at positions 56 to 830 of the family's 1533-position model. The record is from RNAcentral.